Molecule: non-coding RNA, 24 nt
Filed under: Arabidopsis thaliana (thale cress)
Lineage: Eukaryota; Viridiplantae; Streptophyta; Magnoliopsida; Brassicales; Brassicaceae
Source: RNAcentral
AACCGUGGAGUUCUCUCAGGACGU